AGUGAACGCUGGCGGUAGGCCUAACACAUGCAAGUCGAACGGCAGCACAGGAGAGCUUGCUCUCUAGGUGGCGAGUGGCGGACGGGUGAGGAAUACAUCGGAAUCUGCCCAGUCGUGGGGGAUAACGUAGGGAAACUUACGCUAAUACCGCAUACGGCCUUCGGGUGAAAGAGGGGGAUCGCAAGACCUCUCGCGAUUGGAUGAGCCGAUGUCGGAUUAGCUAGUUAGCGGGGUAAUGGCCCACCAAGGCGACGAUCCGUAGCUGGUCUGAGAGGAUGAUCAGCCACACUGGAACUGAGACACGGUCCAGACUCCUACGGGAGGCAGCAGUGGGGAAUAUUGGACAAUGGGCGCAAGCCUGAUCCAGCCAUACCGCGUGGGUGAAGAAGGCCUUCGGGUUGUAAAGCCCUUUUGUUGGGAAAGAAAUCUUUCAGGCUAAUACCCUGGGAGGAUGACGGUACCCAAAGAAUAAGCACCGGCUAACUUCGUG
This 490-nucleotide ribosomal RNA is filed under the name uncultured bacterium. Its description in RNAcentral is "partial 16S ribosomal RNA". It matches the Rfam family "Bacterial small subunit ribosomal RNA", at positions 29 to 507 of the family's 1533-position model. The record is from RNAcentral.